This 497-nucleotide ribosomal RNA is filed under the name uncultured bacterium. Its description in RNAcentral is "partial 16S ribosomal RNA". It matches the Rfam family "Bacterial small subunit ribosomal RNA", at positions 28 to 507 of the family's 1533-position model. The record is from RNAcentral.
GAUGAACGCUGGCGGCGUGCCUAAUACAUGCAAGUCGAGCGAACAGACGAGGUGCUUGCUCCUCUGACGUUAGCGGCGGACGUGUGAGUAACACGUGGAUAACCUCCCUAUAAGACUGGGAUAACUUCGGGAAACGGGCGCUAAUACCGUAUAAUAUAUUGAAGCGCAUGGUUCAAUAGUGAAAGACGGUUUUGCUGUCACGUAUAGGUGGAUCAUCGCCGCAUUAGCUAGUUGGUAAGGUAACGGCUUACCAAGGCAACGAUUGUUAGCCGAAGUGAGCGGGUGACCGGCCACGCUGGAACUGAACCACGGUCCUGUCUCCUACGGUAUGAAGCAGUAGCGAAUCUUACGCAAUGGGCGAAAGCUUGAGAGAGUAACGCCGCGGGUGUGAUGAAGGUCUUCGGAUCGUAAACCGCUGAUAUUAGGGAGAAACAAAUGUGUAUUUAACUAUGGACGUAUUGACGGUAAUUAGUCAGAAAGCCACGGCUAACUACGUG